UGGGGAAUUUUGGACAAUGGGCGAAAGCCUGAUCCAGCAAUGCCGCGUGUGUGAAGAAGGCCUUCGGGUUGUAAAGCACUUUUGUCCGGAAAGAAAUCCUUGGCUCUAAUACAGUCGGGGGAUGACGGUACCGGAAGAAUAAGCACCGGCUAACUACGUGCCAGCAGCCGCGGUAAUACGUAGGGUGCAAGCGUUAAUCGGAAUUACUGGGCGUAAAGCGUGCGCAGGCGGUUUGCUAAGACCGAUGUGAAAUCCCCGGGCUCAACCUGGGAACUGCAUUGGUGACUGGCAGGCUAGAGUAUGGCAGAGGGGGGUAGAAUUCCACGUGUAGCAGUGAAAUGCGUAGAGAUGUGGAGGAAUACCGAUGGCGAAGGCAGCCCCCUGGGCCAAAUACUGACGCUCAUGCACGAAAGCGUGGGGGAGCAAACAGGAUUAGAUACCCUGGUAGUCCACGCCC
RNAcentral lists this ribosomal RNA (457 nucleotides) under uncultured bacterium. RNAcentral's name for it is "partial 16S ribosomal RNA". It matches the Rfam family "Bacterial small subunit ribosomal RNA", at positions 355 to 802 of the family's 1533-position model. The record is from RNAcentral.